AAGAUGAGAACGGUCCAGAGGAAAAACAAAGUACAGAAGAAAUGGAAGGGCAGAGCCAAGAAGCAGACGGCGUCAACGCUGCAACUGGGCCCAGCCCUGCUUCAGAAGAGGCCGUUGAAGUCUGUAAAGAUGAAGAUUCUGCAAAGGACGACCAUAUUACAAAAGACAAUGAAGUGACAGAUCAUUCUGUGUGUGACCAAGAUCAUCCUAAUGG
Molecule: non-coding RNA, 214 nt
Organism: Leptonychotes weddellii (Weddell seal)
Lineage: Eukaryota; Metazoa; Chordata; Mammalia; Carnivora; Phocidae
Source: RefSeq, a predicted model, not a curated record